This is a long non-coding RNA of Helianthus annuus (common sunflower), 440 nucleotides long. RefSeq lists it as uncharacterized. The record is from RefSeq and is a predicted model, not a curated record. Lineage: Eukaryota; Viridiplantae; Streptophyta; Magnoliopsida; Asterales; Asteraceae. The transcript is spliced from 4 exons.
AAUAAAACACAACACACACUAAGAGUGUGUGUGUGUGUGCGUACGACCAGGAGGGGCUCCAAGGAGCCAAACCCUAGCUUGAUCAAUACCUUCAAAUUGGAGGAUCAAUUCAAGACCAAAUCAAUGCAUGAACGCGUAUAAACGAUCACCGAGUCAAGAGGAUCGAAAGGUGGAGGCUUGGGAAAGAAGCGGUCAAACGAAUCAAGCACGAGAAGAAAAAGCGUAUUCGGGUGCGAGGAGUAAAUGUGAAAUGGGUAUUAGCAACGCCAUGGAUUAGCGGUUAUAAAAGCAAGGUAUUAAAAACGGGUUGAUAUAUUGACCCGCGCCAGGUACACUAUGGGAUGCCGGAAGACGAUCAAACUGAAGAACCGAACACAAUAAAGACUCAUGCUUCCGCACAUUGCCUCGUUGUAAAUUUUAACGACGAACCCAAUCACGUU